Long non-coding RNA from Osmerus eperlanus (European smelt), 290 nucleotides. RefSeq lists it as uncharacterized. NCBI's taxonomy places the organism in Eukaryota, Metazoa, Chordata, Actinopteri, Osmeriformes, Osmeridae. The transcript is spliced from 3 exons. The record is from RefSeq and is a predicted model, not a curated record.
CCUAGGCAGUAUCUCUGCACCAAAUGUGAUGGAGAUGUUCACCAUCAUCUACCUCUCCACAACAGGGACUCCAUGGUUUGUGGGUUUUACAAGCCAUUGAGUCCAACCACGGCAGUCAAGAGGGAUUCAGAGGCCUAUCAUUUUUCUGAGCAGGUCCGACUUCUCCCGGUACUUUUGCCCCAGAGCAUUUGCACUUGUCCAGCAAGUUCAUGCCGGUUGAUCAGUGGCAAGUCCAUUAUUCUGAUAGGAAUGAAUGGACGUUACAACCUCACCCUUCCAGAUAUGGAGUG